RNAcentral lists this ribosomal RNA (506 nucleotides) under uncultured bacterium. Its description in RNAcentral is "partial 16S ribosomal RNA". It matches the Rfam family "Bacterial small subunit ribosomal RNA", at positions 29 to 523 of the family's 1533-position model. The record is from RNAcentral.
AGUGAACGCUGGCGGUAGGCCUAACACAUGCAAGUCGAACGGCAGCACAGGAGAGCUUGCUCUCUGGGUGGCGAGUGGCGGACGGGUGAGGAAUACAUCGGAAUCUACUCUGUCGUGGGGGAUAACGUAGGGAAACUUACGCUAAUACCGCAUACGACCUACGGGUGAAAGCAGGGGACCUUCGGGCCUUGCGCGAUUGAAUGAGCCGAUGUCGGAUUAGCUAGUUGGCGGGGUAAAGGCCCACCAAGGCGACGAGCCGUAGCUGGUCUGAGGGGAUGAUCAGCCACACUGGAACUGAGACACGGUCCAGACUCCUACGGGAGGCAGCAGUGGGGAAUAGUGGACAAUGGGCGCAAGCCUGAUCCAGCCAUACCGCGUGGGUGAAGAAGGCCUUCGGGUUGUAAAGCCCUUUUGUUGGGAAAGAAAUCCAGCUGGCUAAUACCCGGUUGGGAUGACGGUACCCAAAGAAUAAGCACCGGCUAACUUCGUGCCAGCCGCCGCAGUAA